This 253-nucleotide ribosomal RNA is filed under the name uncultured bacterium. RNAcentral's name for it is "partial 16S ribosomal RNA". It matches the Rfam family "Bacterial small subunit ribosomal RNA", at positions 524 to 776 of the family's 1533-position model. The record is from RNAcentral.
UACAGAGGGGGCAAGCGUUAUUCGGAAUUAUUGGGCGUAAAGGGCUCGUAGGCGGCCAACUAAGUCAUACGUGAAAUCCCUCGGCUUAACCGGGGAACUGCGUCUGAUACUGGAUGGCUUGAGUUCGGGAGAGGGAUGCGGAAUUCCAGGUGUAGCGGUGAAAUGCGUAGAUAUCUGGAGGAACACCGGUGGCGAAGGCGGCAUCCUGGACCGAUACUGACGCUGAGGAGCGAAAGCCAGGGGAGCAAACGGG